Parus major (Great Tit) is the source of this 21895-nucleotide long non-coding RNA. RefSeq lists it as uncharacterized. The transcript has 2 exons. NCBI's taxonomy places the organism in Eukaryota, Metazoa, Chordata, Aves, Passeriformes, Paridae. The record is from RefSeq and is a predicted model, not a curated record.
UGAGCCACUAUAUAGUACUUCAGGAUCCCAAGAAGUUGCACUGAUUGCUGCAGUGUAGUGAAGGACACUGAGUCUCCAAGUAGUGUCAUGGCAGGACUGGACCCAGAGUUCUACUGGCUCUUCCCAGUCCUGGGCCUUGAAAUCUCGUGCAGCUGUUGGCCACAUGGGACUGGACACAAACUGUGUCCAUCUUCCAUGGGAAAAAAAACUCAGUCCACUUUCUACCUUCAAGCUGCCAGGGGCCCUGAUCUUGUGUGCAGUGGCCAGAGCAGAGUGCCAGUGUCUGUGAACAUUAGUGGAGUGUCAUGAACCCCUGUUGGGUGGGUAUGCAGGAGAGAGGCAAAGAAGGAACAGGGACUUGAUCAGGGUCAGUCCUUUCAUUUCCCUCUUGCAGUGCCCUGGCUAUGACUUCAGGUUGCUGCAAUCUGUAGCUGACUCACAGCAGCACUGAGAGAUUCAGUGCUGAUGACUGGCUGAAAGAUGAGAGGUAACUGGUUUUUCUCCCAGUCUAAUCUCACACCCCAGGGAGAAGAGAUCAUGUGGAAACAAAGUGCUGAGAGUUAGUGUCCUCUGCUGACCUCAUGAAUAUGAUUAUCUGAAAGGAUAACUUCUACUUGGCAGAUUUGUGCGUGCUGUUCUGGGUUCAAAAUUAUCAAUAUGCCUUCAAGAAGCUUAUCCUAAGUAAUUCUGACAAAUUGUUGAAGUAAUUUGAGCAUCAAACUAUACUGAAACCUUAAACUUUUUUCUGUUCAAAAGCUUGGCUGCUGGGAAUGCAGUAUGCAAGAUAUUAAUUUUGCCUUACACUUCCUCUGGAUGAUUUUCUGACAGAAGAGAAGCUUUGUUCUUUUGUAGUGCAGUACAAAAAGCAACAUGGCCACUCCAAACUGAAUCUAGAUUUGAUCAGGUGCAGAUAGAUGUAUGGAAGAGCCUGUAUUUUCCUCCUGUGUUUGCAGACAUUUAGAGGAAAUGUGUUUUUAUAUGGCAAAAAUGAACAGAACAGCAGAGAACUUUGAAAAGCUCAGAAGGAGGAGUGUAUUUGAACAGUUUCUCAAGCACUGCAGGACAAAUCCUGUCCUGCUUCCACCUACAUUGGAAUAAAGGAGGGAGAUUAUGAACUGAGUGAUACCCCUAAUGUGCAGCAACAGUUAAUUGUUGGAUGUUACAGAAAAUAUUCUCUUUGUCACCUUCAGUAGGGCACAGGAGAUUUGACUAGAGGUGGAAUCACAGAGAGAUGACUGUCUUCCCUGCAGAGACUCAAAUGGAAGAGACACUUUGACAGGGUAAAUUAGAUGCAGGACAAAGACCUUCUGAUCACAGCUGGUUUCAAUGGGCUUAUUUGAAUGGGAAAACUCUGAGCUGAGGGCAAACUCUGCUGAUGACUCAGAGUUGUGUGUUGCAGUGAAGGAAUUGUAGGGUUUUUAUUUUCAGUACUUCUGAGAUUUCCUGUUCCCUACUGACAUCGCUACUAAAAUGUUAAAAGAUCUGAAGGGAUGGAAAACAGCCCACUUGCGAUGUUUGCUUUCCUGCUGAGCAGCCCCUAGCAGGGCAAUUUUACCAAUCAGUCAGAACCCUAAGAAAAUUUUGCUGCAACUUUGUAAAAUCUGACUCUGUCCUUCAAAAGAGGAAGCAUUGCCUGUAGAGAGCACUCUGACUUGGCCCUCUGAAGCCUAAAGCUGAGUUUGAGAUAUCUCACCUUGUUUUGGGGAUGUGCCUAGUCCUUGUCCUCUUCUUUAAAAAGUCUGAAUGGUACUUUUCUAGUGAGGCUGGGCUGUUGCAAGUUCUUCCUGGCAGUGACAGUACUGUAUGUUUGAGGUCCUGCCACCACAGCACCUUGAUAUUUUCUGGAGAAUUCUUGCUUUACCUCUAGGAUACCUAUAAAAAUUGAAAUGUGGGAUGUGGAAAGUACAACAGUAGUUCAUAUAAAAAUGGCUUCUGUCAUUACUCUCUAGGACAUUGGAUUGUGGGUCAAGGCUAUUCAGCUACGUGACAACUGUCACUGCCUCAGGAUUUUCAGGCUGUUAUUGCUUUUGAAGAUUGCUGCUUGUCCUGUGGCUGAUGGAUGAGUGUUUUGGGGCUCAAAGCAGUCCCAGCAGCACUUCUGAGCCACAGGAUUUUAACUAUGAAAUAGUAAAAAAACCAAGUCACUACUUUCUCCCCCUGCUGACUAGAGAAAAUAGAUCCAACAGAUAACAGUUUUGAGAUGAGCCAGAUGUGGAUGUUUUCCCCAGAACCUCAAACCCUGUGUUUAUGGUCCCAGCAGCUGCACAUGUGCACGUCCCCUCCGGUGUGGCUGACCUGUUCUCCCAGGGAAGCAGCCAUUGACUCCAGAGCCUGUCUGGUUGCCCAGGUGGCUGCAGCAGCGCCAUGGUGGGAGUGACAGGUUUAAUGUUGUAACAGCACUGCUGAAGGAUGUUGCUGGAGCUGAAAUAAAACUGAAGUGGCUGAAGCCAGAGGCUGAGAAAGAUGUUCCAGAUGUCCUGAUCACUGUGUAAUUUCCAGAAAUACAUCUGCAUUUCUUCUCCCAUAGUAUUCUGAAAAAAGCUGAAGGGCAGCAGCAGGAGACAGAGGUGGCCAGCAGCUCCAGUACACCCCAGUCCUAAGGGGAAAUCUAGUCUGAGCACAUGAAGGUCUGUCUAUGUAUAUCUGUGUCAGGAGCAGACACUAAAUUUUUCACUUCUCAUACCAAAGGGGCUGCCUGCUCACCUGGCUUCCCAUGAGCAUUAGGAAGUCUCUGGGGUAGCCUGAGCAUCAGCUUGUUGAGGGCUUGUUUUGGGAAACUCAUCAUGACCUUUCCUUUGUAGGCUAUCAUGCCUGUGGGUGUCACUGUCCCCACUGUGUGGUGUUUAUGAACAGGGCCCAGCACAGCCCUGUGGUACUGUUAUCCUGGCUGCAUUGCCAUGCACCAGCAUCUGCUUCUUCCAGAGACAGAUCAGAAAGCAAAGGAGAUGAAUGUGUCCCAUAUUAACACAUGAUUGUAACCAAACAUACAAAGGAAAGAAGGUGGUGACUUCAGUGGAAGUCAUCUAAACGAAGCCAAAGGUGCUUAUAAAUGUCCACUUCUUCUUCUUCUUUGCCAAGAUACUGUUUGCCAAAAAUAAAGAGUUGUGGUUUGAGCAUAAAGUCAGCCUUGCUUUAGGGUAGGAGAAUCCCGGAAUUUUUUGUGUUUGUUUGUUCCUUCUUGCACAGAUUUCCUGGCUAUUUCUGCUUGAAAGCUUUACUGGGCAAUGACUGAAUCCUUUCGGCUUGCCUGCCAGAAAGCAGAUCAUCACAUUUUGCAGACAAACCCAAAAAGAGCUUGGAUGCUUCCCUUGCCCUGAACUUGCUCCCAGAUCUCACAGGCCAUUUUAUUGAAGCUAUGUGGCAAAAGCCUGUGUUUCAGUGUCUUCAAAGGGAGUCUCAAUGAGCCAUCUUUAAUAAAAAGAUUGGGUCAUACUCCAAGGAGUAUGAGCUGGGCUGCCUUGGGCACAAAAAUUGUGAUACUUCUGUUUCAUGUAAGGACCCAUAAAAAGGUUUGUAUGACCAGGUGUCCAAGGCUCAGCAUUCAUGUUAAAUGGACCCUUAAUGCACAAUGUUUUGUGUCCCAAAAGACAGUGUAAUCAAAUGCUGAUUGUAACAAUAACUUGCUUCCUGCAACAAACAUACUGAAUAAGAUGUUGGAUCAAAGUCAUUUCUUGGACCUGAUUACUUACACCUUUCCUUAUUUUGAGACCACUGAGUCAGAAACGAGCUCUUUCUGAGCAUGCAGUGCACUCAGCAGCUGGAUGUCCACCACAUAAGUAGAUUCUGGUGCUGUUUCAGGAGCUCUGCUCAAUACUUUUUGCCCAGAAGAGAUCCAAAGCAAGGUGUUGGUCACCUUGAGGUAUGACUUAAACACAAGGGCCGAGAUGUUUGGAUUAUUAGUUUCUAAUGGCGUAUUGCAGUGAGGUACCUGGAAAUUAACCUAUUUUAAUUAUAGUGAUCCAUAAAAUCUUGAUGUCUGACACUAGGCUUUGCAAUGUCGUCUGUUGGUCACUGCAAUGUCUAAGCCUGCUCUCUCAGGCAGACUUCCUCACUUGUCCUGAGGUCUGGACCUCUCUGGAGGCCCGAGAGUAUUUGUUCUCAGCCAGGUGGGUGGCUGGGCAGAGGUGUGGCCUGGGAGGCUGCAGUUGAAAAGGGCAUGUUGCACGUGCCUUGCUGCUCAGGGCUGGGUAGUCUCAGUCUUAAGGCCACUGGGAUUUGAAUAUGAGGCUGAUUCUUCAGAGGCAGCAUCUGUUCUUAGCGCUAUCUCAAACUUCUGUGCAAAUUCUCUAGCAGAAAUAAAGUUUCAUGAGGAAAGUCUAACCACAAUUCAACAGAGGUGGUAAAAGGCAGUGGGUAGGAAAGAAACUUGCUCACCUCCAGUCUAUUUUAAUGAUACGUUGUGAAGUAAAGGGGCCUUAAUGAUACUAGUCAAGCAUCCUCAGAGGAACAGAACUAUCUGCAUGUUUUAUAUUCAAUAACACUGGGGGUUUUUUAAUUUUUCUCUAGGGAAUCAAGUUACUCCUUCAUGAAGCUGAUCUGGGGCAGUGUGUGCCUGUGUCCCAAAUUCCUGGUAAGGGGAGAGGAGUUAUGUAACUGGCACAAGGAAAUCAAAACUCCUGCUAUGCUGGGCUCACUCAAUAAAAAUGGUAUCAUGGGAAAAGACAUGCCAAAGUAGGCUUAAAUAAACAGCACAGAGGCAAUGAACCUGCAUGACAUAUGGAAGGGUUACAGGGAUGACACAGUAAUUUUAGUUGUGAUUUAAGAGUUUAAAGGAGCGAUGGCAGAUUAGGGGUAAAUCCAGAGUUCAUCUGUAUGUUACAAACAGCUGCUUAUUUUCAUUAGAGAGUUUUUUCUUUUACUUUUGUUUUUCUCUAUCAAGUCUUAGCUGUCUGGUGUGAAAUCUGGCAGUGUGUGUUGGAUCAGAGCACAUUCCCACUGAAACCCAGUGUAAAGGCUUGUCAGUUCUCCAGGGUCUAUCAAACUUCACAAAUAUUUAUCAAGUAGAUAAGCUUUUACAGCAACUCAUUCUAAACCAUUGAAGUUAUUUCUUGGAAUAGAUUUGUUAAGAAAAGAAACCCUCUUAAACUUUCCUAACAGAUAGCAGUCCAAUGAGAGCUAGCCUCCUAAAUGCCCAGUAUGAAAGGGAAGAAUAGCGUGGCAUUUGAUUUCCUGAGUGCUAAGAAAUGAGCUAAGAACAACAAAUAUUGUCCUUGUUUGAUUUGAAAUGGAGCCAUGCACUUUCUGGCACUCCUUGCAGUUCUGCAGUGUUUUCCCACCAGUGCUGGAGCCUUUGCACAGGCACUGUGUGUUUGUGUGCUUCUGUAGAUAUUUGGAGCUACUUAAAGAGGUUCACGCUACUCACCUGUCCCCCAUUCCUGAUGUAAAUACAGAUGGGCUAUAGCUCCUUUCUGAAACCUGCUUGGUUUCAUUAGGUUUUUAAAGAGUUAUUCUGUUGUGUCUGAAAAACAGGAGGAAGACUAUAGACUACUUUAUAUUAUUCACGUGUGUGCUAUGUUUUGGCUUUCUCAGAACUUGAUGUAACAGAGGUGCAUUUUCAUUGCUCAGAUCCCCCUCUGUUCCUCAAGCCUAAUAAAAGCCAUCUAUAAAUCAGCAAUGUAGUGCUUUCACAAUGCUGGGGCACACACAAGAGGGGUGUAAUGUACUUAGCAAAAGGCCAGACUAGAAAGAAUUCCAAGAUAAACAGAGACCCUUUAACAAGUUUCCAUUGGGCUCUGACAAGGCUAGACCAGGAUGUGUGAAGGGCAAAAUAAUCUCUCAGCACUCAAUAGGAGCAGAAGAUCUAUAAACUGUGGAGGAUCAUUGGCAUUUCUUGCUCUUUGCCUCCCAUUUCUGGUCUGAAAAUUGUCAAGGCCCCAGCCUCUUCAGAGCCUCAUCACUGCAAAAAGGCACUCUUCUCUGGCAGUCUUAACUGUCUUUGGAACAGAAGGAUCCACUGCAAAUGCCCCUGGUGUCCCUCUGUGGUGAUAUGCUAUUAUGCACUGAUUGCAGAGUUUUACUGGUCCCUGUGAAAAUGAGAAUAUGCCCACCUUUGUUAAAUGUCAGUGUUUUCAGAGAUAUGUAAAGAGAUAUCAGACAAUGUGGGAAGACAGAAAAGAUAAUGUUGCUUGCUUUUCCCUUUAGGAUUGGGAUAGCUGAGUUUCCCAGAGGUGUUCUAAGUCCUUCUGCUGCUUGGAAAUGAAAACCAGGGCCAGUGACAAAGGCUUAGCUAUAGCAACAGUGCAGCUGGGAAUGCUCAUUACAAACAGGCUGUGUCAUUAUGGUGGUGUGGAAAAACUCUUCAGAACCUCUACUACCUUUCAAGAACUCCUACCUUCCUUCCUUCCUUCCUUCCUUCCUUCCCUCCUCUUGGCAUGCUCUUGCAGUCUAUUGCUAGGAGGCCUUGUGCAUCCUGCUUUGUGUUUGUUCUCCUACUCCUGGCCCUUGGUUCUUCCAUCAGCUGUUUUCAAACAACCUAUUUUGCCAGUCUAAUACACACUAGACACCUAAUUUUAGAGAAGAAAUGAUCCCAGGUGCUUUUCUGACUUGCUCCAUAAUACAUUUUUCUUAAACAGCAGUUUGAUUUUUAAUCUUCCAAAAGUGAUGUAGCACUUGGAAGAGCAGCCUCAUUUGGGGCCUCCUUUACCUGCUGUUUCAUGUUUCUGUGAUGAGAAUUACAAGUAAAAUCACAUUUCAAAGUCCUUAAUCAUGGUCUGAAGGUUAAUACUAAGGGGUCACCCUCUGCAUUUCCCUCCCAUCUCAGCAGGAAUACUUGGCUCCUGUGCAUGUCACAAUUUUUGUGCAGCUAUUGCCUGGCUGUUACUGAAAUGACAAUAGAGAAUCACUUGGUUGGAGGUAAAGCUGAGCUGUGAUACAUGUUCAAUCUUAUCAGACCCAAGUGUGAGGCUAAGAUCCAACAAGAGUGAUGAUUUCAUCAUUUAGAUACAAAGCUAAAUAUUCCAAAUUUGUGAGGACAAAAAGAAAGACACCAUUUUGUAUGUGUGGGAUGUUGUUGGUACUUUUUCUGUCUCCUACCUGAACUCAGGCACCUAAGGAUUAUAUUUUUCUUGGUGAGUCCUUUUUCUCAGCUGAAUUUACAGGAUCUAUGCUGAACUCUUAUGGCUUGAUCCAAAAUCUGCACAAAGGGAUAAAAUAUUUUCAGAAAACUUCUAUUUAACUUUAAUGCCUGGUGUCUUUUCAUGCAGAAUUUGCUGUGAUUGAGCAGUAUGACUACUGCAUGACAUGCUACAACUAGCAUGAUCUACCUAGCUUUGUAGAGAGAUGUAAUUAAAAGUAAAGACAAAAUUGCAUGGUAUUGGGAGAAAGAAAACAGAAUACACAAGAAGGCUGAGAAAACUUUGUUUCUUCUCCAUAAUAUUAGCUGGUUUAAUAAGAAACAUAACUUCUCUAAAACCCCAGCCUUGGAUAGAAUUGCUGCAACCUUACAGAACAAGACACACAUUGUAUCACAGUAUCAUUGUAUCACAUCACAGUAGGAUGUGUUGAAACACCCUUUUCUUUGUUUAUAUGUAGUAUCCCUGGGAAGAAAGAAACAUGACCUUCAUUUACAAAUGAAUCAUUGAUUGAGCAACAGUUUAAAAAACAACAAAAAAAAGAGAAUAGCAAAAAGAAAGAAAAAGGCACAGCAGAUAUUUUGAUGACUAGUCAAACAGCAGAGAGCAGAGUCUCUCUUGCCUGGUGUGCAUCAUUCCAAUGUCACUGUUGUCCCUCCAAAGGAUCGAUGUGGCUUGUAGAUGUACACAAAUAUUGGGGAGUGGCAGACUCUUAGAAAUACAGCCUCUCUCACCUCUUUGUUCUUUGUACCUCAUCAGCCAUGCUCAGCAGAGUAUAACGAGCCCUUUCGAUACCUUAAUUUCUCUUUUCCAUUUUAGGGUCUUCUUUUUAAGCCUUCUUUUGGUUUUGCUGUAAUGUGAUGCUAAUUCUUUUGUAAGUCAAAAUGUUGACAGGCGUAUGCUUGCUCUGUAGGUUUAGAGCUUGUGGGUGAAUAACGUGUCUGUGUGCCACAUUUAGCUUUGUGCUUUGCUUGGAACAGUCUGUUCCAACACAUGGGGAUUUUUUCUCCUAGACCUCACCUUUCUGCCCAUAUGAAAUGCAAGCUGCUUGCUAUUUCAUACCAUGCUCCUUUAUAAUGAGCUAAUUCUUUUCCUACACUCUCUUCCUCCUACUGUUCCACCUUUUCUACAUCUCUGUAGAAUUCUUUAAGCAGGAAAUGGAUCUCUUCAAGCCAAGUGCUGUGCUUGAUUGCUGCUGUGUAUUUAGGGUAGCUAUAGUGCUCUAGUGGCCCAGAGUCCCUGUAGAAGGCCAUGGAGACCAAGGUCAUGGUUCCCAGGGAACUGAGAGACAUUGAAUUUGCGUCCUAUGUUUUGAUGGCAAACACUGGAAGGAGAGCCUAGGCAUUUCUUAAUGUCUCUAUUUUCUUGCAAGCGAAAGGUACAGUUGCCAUGGAUAUGUUUUGAGAUCUUAAAUGGAAGGGGAAGAGGUUGAUAAGGCACAUGCCAUGGUGCAGUCAGUGCACUUAGACCGCAGUCUCUUCAGGAGCUGCAGCCAAGUAGACCCAAACUCAGCAAUGUGAAGUCCAAACUCGUCUACUAAAUGGACAGAAGGAACCUGGACAAAUAGCAAAGAAGGAAUGUGAUUAAUGAGUCCCAACCAGCUGUGAAUGCUGCUCAAGAAUCAGGGGUCAGUGCACCUGCUGCUCAGCAGCAACACGCAAAGCUACUCCCGUAUCAGUGAUGUGUUGGGAGCAGACCCCAGUCCUUGAAACACACCCACUGUGUGCUGCUAUUGGAGCAGAGAGCAGUCAUGUAAAAAGAAACAGCACAUCUGAAUUUCCUCUCCAUGUUUACAGUUCUGUUCAAGGUAACACAACAUUUUUCCUGGAAAGGAACCAUCUUAAAACUAUUGGGUGGAAUAAGAAAAGUGCAUGGGUGCUUUCCAGAGUCAAGCCAUCUCCAGAUUCAAGCGUUGAUGUAGGAAUAGAUUUGUACUAAAAAUACCCAUUGAUUUAAUUUUUGGCAGGCAAAAAGCAGCUACUUGAGGGACAACAUAGGUAGUUUGGGCUCUGGGAGAAGUGCCUGCAGACUUGAUCUGGGAUUUAUGCAGCUGGCUAUACCAUCAGAGGUGUACACAUUACUGCAUUUUCCCCAGUAACACCAGACAGUAGCACUUUUGGUGCUUAGUGCUCUUCUGUAACUAUGUUUAAAGUUGAUGUAGAAUGAAAAUGCCCCAUGUGCCAUUGAUGACUCCUUGCUCUGGAGGGUGUUGUCUGCUAGGUCAGCUCAGGGCACUGGUUUCAGACGAGCCUGGAAGAUUUCUGUUUUAAUUCAGAAUUGUGCCUACUUUGGCACAAAUCACGACAAGAGACAUGUUUCUGUUGGAGAAACAGUUCCUGGCAUACUGUCCUAAAACUAUGCUUGUGCUGAUCUUCCUUCUUUCCUUUUGUUACCAUGCAUAUUAGACAGACACUUGAAUCACCUGGCCUUGCACUCAUCUACCUAUCCUGGAAUCUUCCAGGAUUGUGGUGCUUCGGGAAGAAAAAAUCACGUAGGGGUCCUAUAGACACCAUGUGUCCCUGUGUUCUUCUUUCUCCCCAUCUCCCAAGUCCUUCAUGAUACGCUCGAGCCAUUGCUGCAGCAUCACCUGGUGCCCCAACCCCGCCAUCUCUCUGUGUCUCUGUGACCUGUGCAGCCAAAGUGACAGCCAGGUGACGUUGGGGCUGGGUUCAUCCUGCAGCCACAGCUGGGGCAGCAUCUCCAGCACCACCACUGCAUCCCAAAGGCAAGGACCCUGGGAUCUGGGAAGGCUGAGGACCCUGACAUCUUGGGUAAUGAGGACCCACAGAGACUCCCAGGACCAAGUUAUUUGGGGAUGUUAAGGAUCCCACUCCCUGGGGCAUCCACCUCUGGGGGCUCAAUGUAUGUCUGCUUAUAGACAAACAAUAUUGCAAAGAAAAAAGUCAUCUUAGUAAAUAUUUAUCUGAGUGCCACAUACAGUAUAAAUUUAAAUUGGCUCACUGUAUUCAGUAACAGGGUUUGCCAGCAAAUGGACAGUCUUUGUGUGAAAUUCAGUUCUAACAAUUAAGGAUCUGUCAGAUUUCCACCAGAUGAACAGUUAUUUAAUUGAGGAUAUAUGUCCUGUACUAUUUAAUACAUAAUAAAAUUCUUUUAAUGAAUAUGUGAGCUAAGAUUAAGGCUGCUAAUUUAAUCACUGACAGCAGAGUCUCUCAGUGUGAAAAAUAAUGCUUUUGCAUUGACACAUUAAUUGUUGCUAAUUUUUCUAUGCUGUUAUUUUACAUGCAAAGAUCAAAAAACCACCAUUUUCCUGGAGGCCGGAAUAAAACUGCAAAAGCUUUAGAGGAAGCUGGGCAGGGAGCUGUGGUACUGACUUUCUGACAGGAAAAAAAAGUAAUUUUGGAGAGGAGCAGAGUCUGUGACUUUUUAUUGGAAAAAUCAGUCAGGUGGAAAACUCUUGAUCAGUCAUCCCAGUUGCCUCAACUGGUUCUGAAUAUCUUAUUUCCCAAUACCCAGUACCAGUUCCAGGUUUCAGGGGGAGAACUGUGACUUCUUGCUGACCAGUCCUGCACUCCCAGCACACUGAUUUCUCCAAAACAGGUUGUAUGAUUUUGUAUGAGUGCUGCAUCUGCUGUAUGUUAGAUUAAUAUUGUGUGUACUGGUGUCAGGAGACAGAAAGAAUAAAUAGCCUCUAAGCAGACAGAAGGCUAUAUUUAGGUCUAGGCUGAGUAUGCCCUCUGCCUGCCAAAUGCAAAAAAUCCAAGCCCUAGUGCCUCUUCAUUUCCUGCUGAAGACUUACAUACGGUUGUUUCCUCCUCGUGUUUUAAAACUUUCAGACAUGGUUACAGCCUUGUGUGAGGCAGCUGCUCUGUGACAGCCCCAAGACCACAUGGUGUGACUUCCACCAUGGGCCAUGGGGCACGAACACAGGCUCUCCCCUGGGGCCUCUCCUCAGCCCUGCCAUGGGCCAGAACCCACCUGAGUCCCUGCACCAGUGCUGCCAUAGGAAGCUGAUCCCAGCUUUGUGCAGCCAUGGCUCUGCAAAGCCCAGUUCCAUCCCCAGGGCCCUGCCCAGCCAUUCUGGGACUGUGGCUGAUCCUGGUUUCCUGCACCAAGCCUGAACCUGACCCCCACCCCUGGGGGUACAUCCUGGCCUGGACUUGUCCUAUCCCUAUGCCCAGGGAGUUGCUGGAGCUGCUCGCAGGCUUCCCUGGUCCUUGGCCACAGUCCCCCUGGGAACACCCACUGCCUCUGUCAUUCACAGUGUCCAACCUUCCAAAUACCACCACAGACAGACCCCUUCCACCACCUCAGCUAAGAAAUAUUAAUCCAGAAAGGACAGAAAGGGCUAAAGUGUAUGGAAAGGCCAUCUAUGGUUCCUGCUUUAUGAUUUUUCACCAGGAGCACAGGACUCCCCUUUACAGAGGCAGUGUGUCUCUGGGAAGCAGCCUCUGUCAUGGUGGAAUAUAGAUGUUCCUGAGUUAGAUUUAAAUGAAAUGCAGUGGAUAUCACAGAGGAAUCCAGCUGUGAGACUCAGCAUGGGCUAAAUUUAUCCUGUUCUCUGCGCUCUGCUGUACUCUGGUUUAGAGGUUUGAUAAAUGGUCCACAGGUCUGAAUAUUUCAGAAACAGCCUGGCAUUAUUCCCAGGUUCAAAUAGGAAGUAAAGACUGCCAAAAGACAUUGGGAAAAGUAAAAGAGCUGCUUGUCACCAGCACUUAGAGGACUUUAGCCUUUCAAGAGGAGAUUCUGAGCUCCUGAUGAGAGCAGACUUUCAUUCUAGUUUUACAAUUGUAUUGCCAGGCUGGAUCUUUUUGUUCCCAGAACUUCUGAAGUUGCUAAAAAAAUUUGUUAUUUAAAGCCUCUUUUUUUCUUCCCUUUUACCAAGACUGAUUCGCCUCAAUAAUGCUGAGCCUGUGUACACUGUCAGGAAUAAGUUAUCAUGAAAUGGAGAAUCAAAGUGUACACCUUUGUGGGGAAGACAGUUGAAGAGAUAGGAGAGCAAUUUCCCCUUCUAGAUAUUGCUUCCUUCCCUGUGCAGACUAUGUGUAGAUAUGAGUGGAAACCCACCUAAUCCAUAAACCCAAACUGUUUGGAAACACAUUUUGUAGCAUGAAAGUCAGGUUGCCCAGGUCCCAUUUAAUGCCCAGCACAAAGUAAUGUUUCACAACUGCUCUUUCAGAGAAGGAUGGUUUAUUUUAAAUGUUUCAGUACAGGAUUAUGUCUCACUGUGCCAUCUGUGUUUUGAAUGCAUCAGGUUCUGUUGUGUAGGUACAUAUAUAUAUAUGGUGCAUACGUAAGUGAGAGGAGCUAAGGGUGACUAUCUACCUGCCUCCACUUCUCAUUUCUAUGAACUAGACAGACAUCUGUAUCACUGCUUAACCUCAAGCUAAGAUUGGUGGCAUUAGAAGCUUUCUACACAAUUCACUACUGGAGGAGUAGCAAAGAGUUUUUCCAAAACCAAACACCUAUUUCCAGUAUCCAGCAGAAUACAAGUCUCCUGGAUGAACUGCAAAUUCAAAACUGACUAUGAAUGACCAAGGGAAUGAUACAAGUUCUUUAGCCAGCCAGGUAAGGCACAGUCUUUGAUCUUGGACUGUAGUGAAAAUGCUGUUUUUAUUUAAUUGUCACUUAAAUGGGAAUAAAUCAGAAAUAACUCACGUAAAUCUUACAUCUGUACUUCACUUUCUGGUAAGUCUCAUAGGCUCAAUGGUGAUGUGAUCUAAUUUGAAAUGUCUUUGAGAAUUUAUUCAGAAUGAGUUUUACCAGAGUACUCUUUUUAUUCGAAAGGAGAAGGUAGGUUAAAAAAAAUAAAAAAGGUAUUUUACAAGGAAAAGGUAUUUUACAAGGAAAGAACACUCAGCAUGAAGGUCUGGUUAGACACAUGGUAGUGUUUAAUCCUUACUGUUCCUAACCCUUCAGGCCAGGUUUGCAACACUGGGAACUUUCCAGUUCUUGCUCCUGGACCUACUGACUGCUAAGAGGACAGAGCUGUCCCAGCCUCCUCAUUUUGUCUUGGCUUAAUAAAGAACAGUGUAAAGGACAAGAUGCAGCAUAUGCUAAAAGUAUAUGCCUGUGGGCUCCAUAUGUCAUACAGCUGGAAGGCAGCUGCCUUACAGAAGUAAUAAGUAAUAUAGCCAAGAAACAACCAUUAUAAUCAGGUGUUGGGGCAGCCAAGUGAGUAAUACUGCCAGGAGGAAUGCCUACAGUACAGCAGUUGUGAAAUACUGAUUAAGAAGUCCUAAAGUGGCUAUUUUCUCCUGACAAGUCAUUCCUGCUGAAGCAGGCAUGUUUCCAGGCUAAUAGUUUCUAAGUGCACUUUCAGGCUUAUGUGUUUUGGAUGAAGCUGGAUGUUUUUAUGUGUUUUAGCUGAAGCUGGUUUGUUCUUCCUGUCUGUAUAUGCAAUGCCUCCUAUCAUAACCCAUCAUUUCAGCUUAUCAUCACACUCCUGGGAAUCUUGAGUUCCUUAACAGAACUGACUGAAAACCUCCCCUCAUGCAGCAUUUCCUGGACAAUUCAGUCAAACCCUACUAAGACAAGCUUUCCCAUGGUAAAAAGAACACUAAAUGUAUCAGCUGCUAUUUUCAUUUAUUUAUUUAUUUAUUCUAAUUAUUAUUAUUCUUUAUAUUUUCUUUUUCUUCAUCUCAUCCUUAUUGUAUGUGAAAGGUGAGGAUGAAAUCUGCCCCUGUCAGACACUGGCUGCUGUUAAAAAUAGACAUGUCUCUGGUAAGAAAUCUUGGGAAGGGGUAUUGCUGGCAACCUGAUCAAACCUAUCACUUUGCAAUUUUUGCUUUCCUACUUUGUUUUUUUUCCCCCAGUUACAUGAAUGCAUUGUUGCUCAGAGGUUCGUUACUUAUUUUAAACAAACUCUUCCAUACAGUAGUUCCAGCAACCUAGAAAUGAAGCAAGUUGUUCUGCAAGGGUCAACAAUUCAUAUUAUAUAUUCUAUUUAUAUAAUUUAGCCAGUGUUAGAGCUUUAUCCCAAUAUCAUUUGACCAUUGUGGGAAAAGUCAUGUUAAUAAUAUUUAGGGUAAAACUGAAAACAGGACUUAAUAACAUUUCUUGUCUGCUUCAAAACAGCCUUAGGAUCUUGACAGCAUCUCAUUCAGUACAGGCAUAUUCAUGAUAUUGCUGUGGGCUCCUGAGAGUUAUUUUGCUGCACUCAAGGGUAUUACUGGUGGUAGUUCUGCCUGCAGUCUGCUCAGCCCCUUGCUACCAAAAGUGUUUGUCAGACUCAUUUUGUGAUGUAUGUGGCCUUUUGAGGUCUCCAGUUAAAAGAAGUGUUAAAGCUACAAGACAUUCUUAGCUGUUGACAGCUACAAGACAUUUUCCUAAUCAAAAGAAGUGAGUUCAGAGUGUGGUUGUUAUUGGUGCUCCUGUUCUUUUUUAAACUUCCUUACAGUAAUUGUGCCAAAUGUCACUCUUUGAAGAACAUAAAGGAGCUGAUCAAGUUAAAUUCCAAGAUUGCUUUGUCAUCAUAAAAGGGUAAGGAGUGACUGCAAAUAUUCUUUAUGAAAAACAAAUGGAGGGCUUAAGUUUCUUUCCCUGUUUUUUCUUGAGUGGAGUAAAUCCCAAUUUGUGGUGGCAGGUAUGAGAGGACAAGAAUCCUAGGCAACAAUCCAAGGGAGAAUGCAUCCCAACACCUAAAAGUGAAAUAAUUGAGAGUUGAUUCCUUCUUGCACACUUGACAAUUAGUGAGGAAAGUCACUCUUUCCUCCAGCAGAAAAAUGUCCCGCUUUGCUUUACUGGCAUUUUCCUAUUGGUGUUUGUCAAGUGUCUCUUCUGGAGCAUGAAUGACCCUACAGCAGAGAGCUGCUAGUAUCUUCUACUCUGUGCAAUAAAAGCAAUUUGGCUUCACUUUUGAGGCUUCAGAGUGGAACUUUACAAGUUUUAAAGAAAUGUAUGUAUGUUGGUAUGUAUGUCAUACAUACACACAGAGCUGUGUAUCUACGUAUAAGGGCAAACUCAUAGUUUAUUAAUGUUUUUGUGGCUGUAAAUACUGAUGAUAUCGGAAAAUGUAACAUGACCUUAUAAAAAAUAAUGUAUUAGCACAUGGUAAAGUACAGGCUCCCAUUGUAACUCAGUUGCUAUUUGCUAAUUAACAAAAUUAACUUUCUCAGACACAAAUGGGAAUUAUUGAGUUUUAACUGUUAUUUUGAUUUUUGGUUAUAAAAAUUUCCAUGGCUAAUCUCUUCUUUAUAAGUAUCAGAUGUUCUUCAAGGUUAGCUUGUGUAAUGCAGUGCUGAGAGCAGCUGAAUUUUUUCACUGGUGCUGGUGACUCCAAAUCUCCUGCACAUCUGCAGUGUGCACCUACUGCCCUGGAGCAGAGGUACCUGCAAUUGCCUGCCUUUCACUCACAGGUAUAUAGGAAAUCAGUUGUGGUAUUUGAUGUAAUUGGCUCAGUUUCAUUUUGGGGGGUGGAUUUGAGAUCUGAGAUCUCAGCAGAGUUUAGACAAUGUGAUCAUGCUGAAAUGCAGUAUUGGACAGAAGUGAUAAAUAUGCUUACUUAGAGAUCCAGCUGUCAAUUCUUCUAAAAACUGCUGGAUGUGGAUACCAUUUCUGGGAUCACAAUGAAAAAGAAAAGUUUGCUUUGGGAAUUGUGCUGUCCUUAGUCAGCAUCUUUUUGUAACUAUAUAAUAAACUUACCCUGUUGCUGUGUGAGCUCAUGGGUGGAUUGGCAAUGUAGUAGUGAGUCUUUUGAUGUCAAAACAUUACAAUGUACUUAGAGUUGCCAUUGGCUAAUGCUAUUUUAAGUGAGAGAGAGAGUAUGAAUGAGAGUUACAGUAAUGGCCAUUCAUUUGUAGGUCACUGAAGGAUGGAAAGCCUCACCCUGCCUGCCUGUGUGAACUUGGCUGUUGAUCUACAUAACAGCAGGACCUGGGGUUCCCUCCAAGUCAUAAUCCAUAUCUCAGGACUGGAAUUCCAGUUUCAUUGCCUGUACACACUAGGAGGUAAGUGACUGCAGUAUACAAAGAACAGAAUUUUUAUGCAUCUCAUUCUGUGAUUGUUGCUUUUACCUCCUAGUACUGGGAAAGCCUUUUUUCUGUCAUGCAUAUGCUAUAGUGCUUUCAGGUGCCUCCUUUGUGAAAUAGCAUGAAACUUCCAGUGAAGUAGUACAUUUGUAUAUGUUGUGGAUUCUGCUGGAAAUAAGCACAUUUUCUGGAAGUCAUUCUCCAGGUAAGACACCAGAAUGUUUUACCUACUCUCUUUGUUUCUCCAUUUCCCAACUGCAUCCUGACAUAGCAGUGGCCUGAGUGACCCAGGCUGAUCAGGAACCAGUUGCCAACCUCUGCUACAGGAUGGCCCUUCAGAUGAGCUCAGUAGUGGCCAUUCACAGCAGGGCACUGUGGCAGAAGAGGUCACUGCCAGUUCUGAGCUGCCUUGGUGACAAAUGAAAACUCAGAGUGUCAUUUCAGAUACAAACUCUGCUUAGAAAACAAUUCUCAGCAGAUUGAGCUCACAAAGCACACAAGAUUGAGACAGUAGAAAUAAUUUCUAUGACUUCCACUCCCAUUGCCAAGAGGAAUCAGGGCUCCUGGAGAACUCUGAAUUGAUCCAGAUACAGAGCUGGAGAGGCAGAGAAGGUGAAUGCUGCUGGCAGCAGGGCAGGCAGCCAGCGUGCUGUUCUCUUCCAGACUUUCAUGGCUGCACAGAGCAUAGCAUCUCCCUCUACCAUUUAGUAAAUUUAUGACAUCACCAGCUGUUACCAGGGAAACACAGAAACUACAGAUUUGGAUCUUGGCAGCUAGGUAUAAAGAGAAAAUAUCUUGCUCUUUUGGGGGUCAAAUAGGAAGGCUGAAACAAAUUCCAGAACAACUUUGAAUUGGAACAAAAUUGAGGUAGAUCAGUAAUUCCAAACCAAACAAUUUACCUGCUAAAGUGACAGUGUGGUCCCUAUUAUAUUCCUCACAGAAAAUAAUCAUAGGGGAUCAAGUGCAAGAUGUGUAACUUCAUGCAGCUUAAGCAUAUCAUCCAGACAUGAGACCACUGACAACUUCAGUUCUGAUCAGUGGAUUUAACAAGCAACUUUUAGGGAUGCGAUAUCCUCUGACCAAUGAUUUUUCAGAAAGUGCUGAUUGCUGCCUCUUGAGAAAGUUUGCUGGUGUUUCACAUCAAAGAAAGUAGGUAGUGUUGAGUUUCGGUAAAAUGGUGUGCAAAUACCAUUACUGUUCUGACAAAGUAUGUGAUUUUAUAGCUUUUAAAAAUGUGGGGUUUGUGAGAACCGAUGUUUUCAGACAUUAAUUUUAUGACUUUUAGGUGCUUGAGAUUUUUGAAGUUAUGAAAAUCACAUUUUAGUAUUUUAGUAGCAUUAGCUGACAUUUUAUUUAUGUUGCAUGUUAAAAUGAGAACUCUGCUUUUUAAAUUGGUUAUUAUUUGAGUAUUGAGUAGUUGAGACCCAGCCAAUAUGAGCUCUUGUGCAGGCCUGUUUGAUUUCAUUUACACUGCACAAGAUGUACGGGUGUGUACUUGAGUUACCCAGAAACAAAUGCAUCUUUGCAGCAGAUGGAGCAAGCUCAAGUGGGGACUCCAGCCGAAUUCAAGCCUGGAAUUGUAACAGCUGCUUUGCCUCUAUUAAUGCCUGCAAAGCUAUGGGCUGUAUGACUGGAGAUCCCAGGUCAUACGUCUACCAGAAAGGCAGAGAUUGCUAUGCCCACUAGAUGUGCAGAAGAUGUGAGACAAUCUGUAUGGAAUGCUAAAGAUUUAUGGACUCACCCUAUUUGGCUGUAUCUCCACUAAGGAGCAAAAUUUAUGUAGGGAAAAAAUCCCUCUAAUGCUAAUCUGGUGUUAAAUAUAUCCAUGAUGAAGGUUCUUAUGUGGACAUUGAGCGUAUUUCCAGCACUGUUCCACAGCUCUUGUCUUAAAGAGCACAGGAACAAGUUUAAUCUGAUUUGUGUCCUCCACACCGAAACCCAGGCAAGAUCUGGUUGCCAAACAAGGAGUCUCUUUCCCGUUUUGUUGGUGGCCUUGGAUCCUAGAAUUUCUAUGUCACAAAGCAGUUUGCAUACAGUCUGGAUUUUGUUAUCUGAAACAUGGUCCAAUGUUCCCUGUUGUGCCUUGUUUCAGUGGGAUAAUGACCAAGUAAACUGCUGAGACAUGGAUGGAUUGCCAGGGAUAUGUCAUGAGAAAGCUGUCCAGAGUCCUCUGCCCACAUGCUGUGAUGCUGGCUCACAUUUCCAAAGCAGGGAUGCACACAGAGGAGAUCAUUACUGCUCCAAAGAGCUUAGUUAUCUAUGCAAGUUCCUUUUUUUAUCCUUUAAAGUGAGUCACUUGGAAAGGCUCCUUUUUUGGUCCUCUUGAGUUUGACUGCUGGUUCUUUUUGCUUGUAUGCCCAGUCAGAGCUCUGAGACUUGUGACUGGGCCUGCAAUGGCCAUUGGGGCUGCUGUCAUGGUUUAUCUCUCUGGAGUGGUGAAAAUAUCAUUCUUCUCAAUUUUCUUUUUUUUUAAAGGACAUCGAAGAUAUUUCUGACAAGGAAGGAAUGGAAUUAUUGGGAGAAUUCAUGGACAGCCAGGAUGGAGUUCCACCUGCAGACUUUCCAGUUGCAGAUUUGAACUGAAAUUCCCAUGAGAAGGAUGUUUUAUGUGGUCAUUUCAUGGUGUUUGUGGCCUCUGCCAUGGUUAUAGAACUCAGUGCACUCUGUGGUCUCCACAUACGUCUCCUGUUCCACUUUCCAAAUGCUGUGUCCACUGGAGCUACUCUUAAGUACCCACAGGGGAUCAGUAGGAAGUACUUUAGCCCUCUGCACACCCCACAUUGGCAUUUAGCAAAACAAAUCAAUAUGACAAGACUGCAUUAAUCAGACCAAUAGAUGAUACUUAUUAUUUUAUAUACACAGGCUCUUAUAAGUUACUACAGAGCACCUUCACAUUCUUGCUGAUGUCCUCCCUAUAUGUGGUGUACUGGAAGAGGAGGGGCAGUUUUAUAGGACAUACAGGGACAGAAAGACAAGGAGCUUCAACUGGAUGGGAGCCCUGUCCUCUGAAGAAGUUACUUGUGAAGAGCCAGAAAGAAAAUCAUUAAAUCUGGUAACUGCAUUGAUUGAGUUUGUAACACAAAUGAACACAGCACAGUUCUUCCCAUUCCUUCUGGAUUGGCACUGUGUUGGGAAAGGUGAUAAAGAAAAUUUCUGCUGUGCUGGUUAUAUUUAUGAUAGAUGAAAGCCUCUCUAAAGAUGACACCCUCUUGCUCUCUUUCAUGAUCUUCUGAUGUAUCUUAAGUCUUGAUUGCUGACUAAGGUAGCAACAUGGAUAAUCAAGCUUUUAAAGGCCCUAUUUAAUAAAUCUUAUAACAACAUUAAGAGAAGCUAAGGUGUAUUCUUCUCUUACAGUGUACCAUUAAAAGAACUGGUAUCACAUUUUCCCUGUAAAAUAGCUCCUAAAAAUUAUCUGAGCUGACUUUGAGGAUGACCAUGCAAACCUUCCUGCUUCCUUCUUUAGAAAGAAAAGAGACACAGCAUGAGAGACACUUUUCAAAGUAUUCCUCACCAUUAGCCUAGUGCUGAGGGAUUUGGUGCCCUACAGCUAGGAAUACUUAGAAGUGUCAUGCAGAAAAGGGACUCAGGCCAGUCCUGAGUUGCUAAGUUCCUCUAAAGGGAUUUUGCCAAAAAAGGAGAGGAAUUUAUCACCUAUUAGAACAUAGUUUGGCUGUACUAUGCAAGCAAUUUAAUAAACUCUUCCUGUAGGAGUAGUGGCAGUUUUUGAAAUGAAAGAAGUAGGGCUGCUUCAUUUGCACCGAAGAAUUUUCGCUAUUGACUUCACUGGAGCCGUGGCUCUUUACCAGAUCCAUAUCCUAAAGGGCUAAAGUGCCCUUAAAGGAAUGGCUGCAAACUUAUAAAUUGUAAUCUGAGUCCUCAGCUGACAUGACAACCAGCACCACUUCUGCUUAGGAUCUUGCCCUGCAAACCUGUAACCCCCUGUCUAUAGUAGUCACUCAGUAUUCAGUUUGCCCCCAACUAUUUUUACUGGAAUUUCUGUUAAUAAUAAAGAGCAUCUCCUUUCAAAGAAGUGUUUAAAGGCAAAUUAUACUACUGAGUACAUAGUGUUUCAGUGCUUGGGCUUCAAACACUCUGGAACAGGCUGAUUUGUUUAAUAGCUACAGUCCUGACUGGAAUGUUUUUAAACUGUGUAAACAUUCCUACUAGUUUUAUGGGUUGCUAAACUUUUUUCUUUUUUCUUUUUUCCUUUUUCUUUUUUUUUAAAUGUGGGUACAAAUUUAACUUGACAGUGUACUUUCCAAGCCUCCAUUAAAUAGGGCCAACUUGCUAUUGAUAGAGAAAUAUCUCUGGAAUAGCUUUAUGAUGCCUUGCAGUAGAAGAUUUUUCAUUAACUCUGCCUAGAAAGAGAAACCCAACCUAACAUGUCUUUGUGAGUUCUUACUGUGCCUUAAUGUCUGUGAGACCCCUGCUGGUUGAAAGGGGAAGAGAUGGGAAUGAAAAACUCCCAAGAUAAUUUAAUGGAGAAAGGAAUUUAUUUUCAGAGUAUGUUGUGUUUGCCAAUCACUGUUACCAUGCAGCCACCAAAGACCUCAGUGCUUUGAAACUUCUCACUUACAGGUUGCACUUUGUUGGUGCUUUCCUCACAUAAUUGUGUUUUAUCUCCCUUCAAGUGUGUCAGUGCUGUUUUAAAAGAUCAGUAUAGAAAUAUUCAGCUACACCAUCUGGUUUCAGUUUUCCUUAAUCUGGUGUCAGCCAAGAUCAAUCUUAUACAGCCUGGAUGAUUAAAAAGGACAGAGUUAAACCUGCUGCAUUUUAGGGAUUUAAGCCUUCCUUUUCCUCCUGUAAAUUUUGACCUUUUCAAAAUGGGCUUCCCCCUCCCCCCCAAGAAAGUGGAACAUAAAAUAAAUGUUUGCUACUUUUCCAGAGGAGCCAAAUUCCAUGCAUUCUGGCUGCUUUUCACUGACACAAAAAUUAUUCCAAAAUAAUUUCUCAUUAUUUACAAAAUGACACUAUGUUACUGUAACAAUAACAGCUAACUUGGCCCUUUGAAAGUUAUGUACUUUCUCAAGAAAUUUCAAUCUAAGAGGCAAAACACUGAUCAUGGUGACCUUGGGAAAAUACAGCCUCAAGAAAGUAGUGGAUGUUUGUGAUUAUUUUGAAAUCUCCCGGCUGCAUCAGUUUCCCAGUGAGGCAAUUUGUGCUUGUGUCACACCCCACGGAGUGGUUCUCUUGCUUUCCCUGUCUGCAGCCUGGGUCCUGGAGAGGUAAAGGAGCAGGGGCAGCUUUAGUCCCCUCUGCUGAUGAGUUUCCUGGGGAAGGAAAAUGUGCUGUGCAUAAAAAAAAUCUAUGUAACUGUUGCCUGAUUGUCUGCCUGGUGAUGGGACUAAGCAGAGUUGGGGUGGGUACCAAUCCGUGCCACGUAGAUUUGUUUCCUCUGUUCCCGAUAGCGUGACUGAGCCUUGGGAACAGUUAGUGGGAUCGUUGAUGAGCUGCUGAAUUCUUGUCUACUUUCUUUUGUCUAGGUUGCCUCAAAUUAUCACUGAAUUUUAUUGUUUUUAUACACACACAACUUUUAAAUCCACACAGAUGACACUUUUGGUGAAAAUGCAUUACACACUUCUCAGACUUCGCAGCUGGUUGAGCACCAAUGAAGGAAAUACAUUUGGUAACUGAGCUGGGAAAGAAAGGUGCUUGGAGAUGCAGUUUCUAAUGCUUUCUUAUAGAUAUUCCCAUCAGACCAUACAAAGAACUCUUCCUGACUAUAUUAAGAAAGAAAUAGGAGAAUAUAAUUUUUUUUUUAAGAAACCUUUUAAAAUUAAAACGUUUGGGAGCUUGAUUAAAUGUACUGUGAGAAAAAUGUGCAGUUCACUUACACUAUUGACUUGAGGUUUAUACAGUAUUGCCAAGUGCUGGAACGAAUAAAGCUUUAAUAUUGGA